GCCAUAAGAUAAUGAAAUUAAACGACUAAAAUAAUGAGGCCCUUAUACUGAAUUGGGUAAUAGCUGGCCCUCUGGCCAAUCCUCUCUGUGCAACACGUUUCCAAUGGCACCAGUUUCUCUCUCCUCUGUCCCUCUUUUUCCUCCAUUUACAGUCUCUGUGCCUUCUUGUCCGCUACUUCACCGGCGAAUCUUUUCUCCUUCCUCUACAAUCCAAGCCUCUUCUUCUUCUUCAGCUUUGAAACCUGAAGUCGUAGUGACCAGAGAGCGUGGGAAGAAUGGCAAGCUCAUCAACGCUCUGGCCAAACAUGGGAUUAGCUGUUUGGAGCUUCCCCUCAUUCAGCAUACAAAGGGACCUGAUUUAGAUAAGCUUUCUACUGUAUUAAGUGCAGAUACUGAAUUUGACUGGAUUGUCAUAACUUCACCUGAAGCCGGUUCGAUCUUUUUAGAAGGAUGGAAGGCUGCUGGAACUCCAGAUGUUAAGGUAGCUGUUGUGGGGGCUGGUACAGCAAGCAUUUUUGAUGAAGUAAUGCGGUCAUCAACGAAAUCACUUGAUGUGGCCUUUGUGCCGUCAAAAGCAACAGGAAAGGUUUUGGCAUCAGAGCUUCCAAAAAGUGGACAUGCAAAAUGCACUGUUUUAUAUCCUGCUUCUGCUAAGGCCAGCAAGGAGAUUGAGGAAGGUCUGUCAGAUCGUGGAUUUGAAGUGACAAGGUUAAAUACAUACACAACGGGACCAGUUCAUGAUGUUGACCAAAUCGUUUUAAAGCAGGCACUUUCUGCCCCUGUUAUCACUGUUGCUUCACCUUCAGCUGUUCGUGCCUGGGUCAGCCUCAUUCCAAAGUCUGAACAAUGGAACAAUUCAGUUGCCUGUAUUGGUGAGACAACUGCCUCAGCUGCAAAAAGAUUAGGCUUGAUGAAUGUAUACUAUCCAACACACCCAGGUCUUGAAGGAUGGGUGGAUAAAAUCCUUGAGGCAUUAAGAGGAUAUGACCACUAGAGGACUGGCUGUUAAUUGUUUAGGUGAAAAAGGCAGUUGCUUGUUUUUAUUCCUUAAAUUUAAAAUGAGCUCUCCUCAGUUUCCUCCAGAUGCAGGUAUCUGAUGAUGAUGUGAGAGGUGUAGAAUGAGGUAGCAACACAGACAUGGAAAAGUUUGAAGUUUCUAUUUAAGGUGUUUGCUGAACAGAUAUGCCAGCAGCAAUACAAUUUGUUGGAAUGUUUAACAUCCUGAACAGAUCAUAUCCAGUAGCUAGAUCAUUCUUUUGAGUUAUUUUGUUUAUUAAUCCCCACGCAACAAGCUUUGAAUCCAAAAACAUCCUUGAGUGUCAUGUGCUUUACUGCUGGGGUCCUCUGCAGAUGCCUUCGUUUCUGGUUAAGGUGGAAUUUUAUUUUAUUUUCUCAUUAGUCUGUAUUCCUCAGUCAAUACUGUCAUAAGGAAUAAAGUGCAUUCCCGAUUGUUUAUUGCUGUACAAUGUUCAUGGGUGUGUGCAAAGUGUGUUCUAUCACCUGUAUUAAUGUGCACGGAUUUCUUGAC
Molecule: RNA transcript, 1528 nt
Organism: Ziziphus jujuba (common jujube)
Lineage: Eukaryota; Viridiplantae; Streptophyta; Magnoliopsida; Rosales; Rhamnaceae
Gene name: uroporphyrinogen-III synthase, chloroplastic
Exons: 11
Source: RefSeq, a predicted model, not a curated record